This 426-nucleotide ribosomal RNA is filed under the name uncultured bacterium. RNAcentral describes it as "bacterial SSU rRNA". It matches the Rfam family "Bacterial small subunit ribosomal RNA", at positions 354 to 796 of the family's 1533-position model. The record is from RNAcentral.
GUGAGGAAUUUUCCGCAAUGGGCGAAAGCCUGACGGAGCAAUGCCGCGUGAAGGAUGAAGGCCUAUGGGUUGUAAACUUCUUUUCUCAGAAAAGAAUUAUGACGGUAUCUGAGGAAUAAGCAUCGGCUAACUCUGUGCCAGCAGCCGCGGUAAGACAGAGGAUGCAAGCGUUAUCCGGAAUGAUUGGGCGUAAAGCGUCUGUAGGUUGUUUAAAAAGUAUUCUGUCAAAGAUUAGGGCUUAACCCUAGAUAGGAAGAAUAAACUUUUAAGCUAGAGUUUGGUAGAGGCAGAGGGAAUUCCCGGUGGAGCGGUGAAAUGCGUAGAUAUCGGGAGGAACACCAAAGGCGAAGGCACUCUGCUGGGCCAAUACUAACACUGAGAGACGAAAGCGAGGGGAGCAAAUGGGAUUAGAAACCCGAGUAGUCC